GUGUACGAGUGGUACAUGCCGAUUCCGAGCACCGGCCGCGCCCGCCUGACGGCUGCGCAUUAGGUUUGUUGGCU
This 74-nucleotide small RNA is filed under the name Xanthomonas oryzae. RNAcentral's name for it is "sX9". Lineage: Bacteria; Pseudomonadati; Pseudomonadota; Gammaproteobacteria; Lysobacterales; Lysobacteraceae. The record is from RNAcentral.